CUGGUUGAUCCUGCCAGUAGUCAUAUGCUUGUCUCAAAGAUUAAGCCAUGCAUGUCUAAGUCCAAGCUGUGCUUGUCACGGCGAGACCGCGGACGGCUCAUUAAAUCAGUCGUGGUCCAAAUGGGCCAGUGCAAAUCCUACUUGGAUAACUGUGGUAAUUCCAGAGCUAAUACAUGCAACUGAUAUCCCGAGGUUGCGCGCUUGCUUGCUUGCCUUGCUUGCGUGUUUUCCGACGGAUGCUUUUAUUAGACCAAACUGCUGGGGACUUGGGCUUCGUGCUCUCGUUCGACUCGUGUGAUGGUGACUCUGGAUAACCAAUUUUGACAAGCGCACGUACUCCUCUUCUGAGCGAGACGGCGCUGCCACUUUCGAGUGUCUGCCUUAUCAGCUAUCAACCGUUCGUUAUGCGCGACCGAUGGCUUUGACGGGUAACGGGGAAUCAGGGUUCGAUUCCGGAGAGGCAGCCUGAGAGACGGCUACCACGUCCAAGGACGGCAGCAGGCACGCAAAUUACCCAAUCCCAGCAAAUGGGGGAGGUAGUGACGAAAUCUAACGAUGCGGGCGCCCUUUUUGGGGCCCCGCAAUCGGAAUGGGCACUUUCUAAACAACCUGUUGAGAACCUACUGAAGGGCAAGUCUGGUGCCAGCAGCC
This 651-nucleotide ribosomal RNA is filed under the name Chaetogammarus stoerensis. Its description in RNAcentral is "bacterial SSU rRNA". It matches the Rfam family "Eukaryotic small subunit ribosomal RNA", at positions 4 to 575 of the family's 1831-position model. Lineage: Eukaryota; Metazoa; Arthropoda; Malacostraca; Amphipoda; Gammaridae. The record is from RNAcentral.